This 101-nucleotide non-coding RNA is filed under the name Alkalibacter saccharofermentans. RNAcentral describes it as "TPP sequence". It matches the Rfam family "TPP riboswitch aptamer (THI element)". Rfam says of the family: Vitamin B(1) in its active form thiamin pyrophosphate (TPP) is an essential coenzyme that is synthesised by coupling of pyrimidine and thiazole moieties in bacteria. The previously detected thiamin-regulatory element, thi box was extended, resulting in a new, highly conserved RNA secondary structure, the THI element, which is widely distributed in eubacteria and also occurs in some archaea. Analysis of operon structures identified a large number of new candidate thiamin-regulated genes, mostly transporters, in various prokaryotic organisms. Lineage: Bacteria; Bacillati; Bacillota; Clostridia; Eubacteriales; Eubacteriaceae. The record is from RNAcentral. RNAcentral also lists the same sequence under 1 other name.
GAAAUGUGCUGGGGGUGCCUAAAAGGCUGAGAAAAGUUGAACUUUAACCCUUUGAACCUGAUGCGGUUAAAACUGCCGGAGGAAAGCUUUAAUGGACGUUC